RNAcentral lists this long non-coding RNA (1216 nucleotides) under Homo sapiens (human). Its description in RNAcentral is "HSALNT0384666". Lineage: Eukaryota; Metazoa; Chordata; Mammalia; Primates; Hominidae. The record is from RNAcentral.
GGCGGAGGUUGCAGUGAGCCGAGAUCUCACCACUGCACUCCAGCCUGGGUGACAGAGCAAGACGCCCAUCUCAAAAAAAAAAAAAAAAAAGAAUGACUUUAAUGGAUUGAAACAUGUCAUAUAUGUCCAAAUCUAUGAGUUGACAAUACUUAAAAAAAAAAAAAAAAAGAAAAAUUCAUUUAUCACCAUGGGAGGAUAUUGGAAAACCCAACUCAUUUUGAAAACUGUCAAAGAAAGGGAAAGAAGCAUUUAUCCUUUUUGGUACAAACCAUACUUUUUGGUAGCCAAAUAGUUGAUAAAUUGAUACCUUUUAUAGACAUAUGUCCACUACCAAAGACAGAAUCAUAGAAUUAGUAUGCCACCAUGUUGUAAUAUCUAAUGAAAUAAUGGGCCAGGUGUAGUGGCUCAUCCCUGUAAUCCCAACACUUUCGGAGGCCGAGAUGGGAAGAUUGUUUGAGGCCAGAAGUUCAAGACCACCCUGGGCAACACAGACCUGUCUAUGCAACAAGAUCCUGUCUCUACAAAAAAAAAAGAAAAAAAAAAAAUUAGCCAGGUUUGGGCAUGUGCCUGUAGUCCCAGCUGUUUGGAAGGCUCAGGUGGGAGGAUCCCUUGAGCCCAGGAGGUCAAGGCUGCAGUCAGCUAUGAUUGCACCACUGCACUCUAACCUAUGUGACAGAGCAAGACCCCUCAAAAAAAAAAAAAAAAAAGAAGAAGAAAUUGUGGAUCUAGACAAUGAUCAUCAACAACAGCUGCUAACAUUGCAAAGAGGAACAACCAGAUAGUGUGUGCCUUUGAAUGGAAGUACAAAACCACCAAUAGGAAGUACUCAUACAAAAAAAAAAAAAUCAAACAUCAAUCUAAGUUAUCUCCUAGGCCUAACUACCAAUUUCUAAGAAAUAUAGCGGGAAGAGGAGCACAUGACACUUCUAUGGAGAUGCUAUAACCAAAAUUCAGACCACAGGAAACUACAGAACAAACAAGCCAGUUUCUUCAACAAAUAAAUUGCAAAGGAAGAAAAAGACAAGGGAAGAGAACCUACAGGUUAGGAGAGAUACAAAAGCAAUCCCAACCGAUGGCAACAUUCGAACUUUAUUUGGAUCCUGAUUUUAACUAGCUAAAGAAACCCUUUAGCUGGGCGCGGUGGCUCACACCUGUAAUCCCAGCACUUUGGGAGGCCAAGCCGGGUGGAUCACAAGGUCAUGAGUUCGAGACCAUC